CUCACUAUGAGCAGUAAUACCAUCUCAAGUCAAAGGACUAGUCACAUAACUACAGCAUUGAGAUGAUCACUGAUGAUUGAAUAGAAAUCUAAGUGAUCUCUCGUAUGGUCACGCUCAGUGCUAGUUGUUCUCUGUCAACCAUCCGCACUUGUCACCCUGUGUCUCUACACAGUAGAUUAGAGAUCAUCUAUCUCGAAGGAAGUGAUUUGUGCAUCAGUCUAUCCAGAUCUAUCACUAUCCUCAUGAUAAUCCUA
Molecule: long non-coding RNA, 254 nt
Filed under: Elaeis guineensis (African oil palm)
Lineage: Eukaryota; Viridiplantae; Streptophyta; Magnoliopsida; Arecales; Arecaceae
Description: long non-coding RNA (EGUI_LNC063180)
Source: RNAcentral